This 827-nucleotide ribosomal RNA is filed under the name Klebsiella pneumoniae. RNAcentral describes it as "partial 23S ribosomal RNA". It matches the Rfam family "Bacterial large subunit ribosomal RNA", at positions 146 to 1014 of the family's 2925-position model. Lineage: Bacteria; Pseudomonadati; Pseudomonadota; Gammaproteobacteria; Enterobacterales; Enterobacteriaceae. The record is from RNAcentral.
CACUAUCGUUAACUGAAUACAUAGGUUAACGAGGCGAACCGGGGGAACUGAAACAUCUAAGUACCCCGAGGAAAAGAAAUCAACCGAGAUUCCCCCAGUAGCGGCGAGCGAACGGGGAGCAGCCCAGAGUCUGAAUCAGCUUGUGUGUUAGUGGAACGGUCUGGAAAGUCCGACGGUACAGGGUGAUAGUCCCGUACACCAAAAUGCACAGGUUGUGAACUCGAAGAGUAGGGCGGGACACGUGGUAUCCUGUCUGAAUAUGGGGGGACCAUCCUCCAAGGCUAAAUACUCCUGACUGACCGAUAGUGAACCAGUACCGUGAGGGAAAGGCGAAAAGAACCCCGGCGAGGGGAGUGAAAAAGAACCUGAAACCGUGUACGUACAAGCAGUGGGAGCACCUUCGGGUGUGACUGCGUACCUUUUGUAUAAUGGGUCAGCGACUUAUAUUCUGUAGCAAGGUUAACCGUAUAGGGGAGCCGCAGGGAAACCGAGUCUUAACUGGGCGUUAAGUUGCAGGGUAUAGACCCGAAACCCGGUGAUCUAGCCAUGGGCAGGUUGAAGGUUGGGUAACACUAACUGGAGGACCGAACCGACUAAUGUUGAAAAAUUAGCGGAUGACUUGUGGCUGGGGGUGAAAGGCCAAUCAAACCGGGAGAUAGCUGGUUCUCCCCGAAAGCUAUUUAGGUAGCGCCUCGUGAAUUCAUCUUCGGGGGUAGAGCACUGUUUCGGCUAGGGGGUCAUCCCGACUUACCAACCCGAUGCAAACUACGAAUACCGAAGAAUGUUAUCACGGGAGACACACGGCGGGUGCUAACGUCCGUCGUGAA